Molecule: ribosomal RNA, 253 nt
Filed under: uncultured bacterium
Lineage: Bacteria
Description: partial 16S ribosomal RNA
Rfam family: Bacterial small subunit ribosomal RNA
Source: RNAcentral
UACGUAGGGGGCAAGCGUUGUCCGGAAUCAUUGGGCGUAAAGAGCGUGUAGGCGGUCCGGUCAGUCGGUUGUGAAAGUCAAGGGCUCAACCCUUGAAUGCCGGCCGAUACUGCCGGGCUAGAGUCCGGAAGAGGUGAGUGGAAUUCCUGGUGUAGCGGUGAAAUGCGCAGAUAUCAGGAGGAACACCGAUGGCGAAGGCGACUUCCUGGCCUGUUCUUGACGCUGAGGCGCGAAAGCUAGGGGAGCAAACGGG